Molecule: small nuclear RNA, 104 nt
Filed under: Prolemur simus (greater bamboo lemur)
Lineage: Eukaryota; Metazoa; Chordata; Mammalia; Primates; Lemuridae
Source: RNAcentral
GUGCUCGCUUCGGCAGCACAUACGCUAAAAUUGGAACGAUACAGAGAUUAGCAUGGCCCCUACGCAAGGAUGACACGCAAAUUCGUGAAGCGUUAAUAAAAAAA